CCUCAUGGACUCGAGACUUGACAAGCUACAAUUUAACCAAGAAAAGAAUUUUGAAAUAGUGGAAAAUUUUGAACGAAUCUAAAACUGUCAGUCCACAUCGACAGCAUAUUGAACUAGCAAAUCCACUUACCUUAAGCCCUCAACCUCAGUUGCCAUUGCUUCAUCAAGCCUUCUCGAAGAACCGCUGGGCAUUCCAUAACCCACUUGAGGUAUUCCAUAACCCGCUUGAGGUACUCCAUAGCCAGCUUGAGGUAUUCCAUAACCCGCUUGAGGUACUCCAUAACCCGCUUGAUGUACUCCAUAGCCAGCUUGAGGUACUCCAUAGCCAGCUUGAGGUACUCCAUAGCCACCUGGAGGUACUCCAUAGCCCCCCUGAGGCUGUCUUAACGGUGGAUGACUUACUGGUGGUGUUAUUAUAGGGGACGCAUCAGGUGAACGCCGGGGGAAUUCAACUCCAGAACGCUGCAACAUGUAACAGAAACCUUGAGAAUAAGAAUACCAUGCAAAUGAGCAUCUCAGUAAAAUGCCAUAUAUAUCGAGAUCUGAAUAUACAGUACUUCAAUUUAGA
Molecule: long non-coding RNA, 568 nt
Filed under: Arabidopsis lyrata
Lineage: Eukaryota; Viridiplantae; Streptophyta; Magnoliopsida; Brassicales; Brassicaceae
Description: long non-coding RNA (ALYR_LNC002137)
Source: RNAcentral